GUGGGGUAUAAGACACCAUGCUUCGUUCCCUUUUCUUGCUUUCUUUCUGGCUCUGAAUUGAAGUCAACUGGAUCUGGGGCCUUCUGAGUUUCUCUACUUACUGCUAUUUCACUCCUGUAUUUUCCUCGUCUAUUCAAGUAGCAGGAAAGAGAAGACCUCCUUCUACCACAGUUCAUUCUGGAAGCAGAAUCAGGAAGAAAGCAAGGACGUGGCACUAGAAGAUAGAUGCUGAAUACUUCAGCUUCCACCAAGGAUGGUCUCUUGAAGAUAGUGAAGGAUAAAAAUGCUAGAAUACCUUCAGCAGUUCACUUCCUCAAACCACCACCACCUGAAUGGAAAAUAGAGAGAACUGAUCUGAAAGCUGGCCACCACCUAUGCUGGUAAUACCAAAAGACAUAAAGACCAUUAACUGUCUUCCUUUUUCAAACCAGAAGGGAGCCCCUUUUGUGUCCCUUGAACAAAG
Molecule: long non-coding RNA, 463 nt
Filed under: Gopherus agassizii (Agassiz's desert tortoise)
Lineage: Eukaryota; Metazoa; Chordata; Testudines; Testudinidae
Description: lncRNA (ENSGAGG00000023888.1)
Source: RNAcentral